UGGAAGUAAAAGUCGUAACAAGGUUUCCGUAGGUGAACCUGCGGAAGGAUCAUUCACAAGAUUAUAUUUUAUAUUACUUUGUGGAACAUUUGGUUGAAUUUACAUGUUUUAUUACAAAAAAUUAAUUAUAAUUAAAAAAAUAAUUUUAAGAAAACCUCCAACAACGGAUCUCUUGGUUCCCAGAUCGAUGAAGAGCGCAGCGAAUUGCGAAAUGUGAUGUGUAUUGCAGUGAAUCAUCAAUUCUUGAACGCACAUGGCACCCCUUUUAGGGGUAUGCUUGUAUGAGGGUGUUUAAUAUGAAAUUGCUUUGGCUUUUUUUAAAUAAAUGGUUUUUCAAAUUGUUACUAAUAGACGAAAGAAUCAGUGCAACAAGCUGUGUUGAAUCUUUCAUUAAAUCUUUUAGUUAACUACUUUAACUAUUUGCACCUCAUAUCAAGCAAGACUACCCGCUGAACUUAAGCAUAUCAAAAGCCGGGAGGAA
Molecule: ribosomal RNA, 481 nt
Filed under: Magnusiomyces capitatus
Lineage: Eukaryota; Fungi; Ascomycota; Dipodascomycetes; Dipodascales; Dipodascaceae
Description: eukaryotic LSU rRNA
Rfam family: 5.8S ribosomal RNA (bases 153-291)
Source: RNAcentral